This 73-nucleotide transfer RNA is filed under the name Chloroflexota bacterium. Its description in RNAcentral is "Chloroflexi bacterium tRNA-Ala". It matches the Rfam family "tRNA". Rfam says of the family: Transfer RNA (tRNA) molecules are approximately 80 nucleotides in length. Their secondary structure includes four short double-helical elements and three loops (D, anti-codon, and T loops). Lineage: Bacteria; Bacillati; Chloroflexota. The record is from RNAcentral.
GGGGAUGUAGCUCAGUUGGGAGAGCGCCGCCUUUGCACGGCGGAGGUCAAGGGUUCGAGUCCCUUCAUCUCCA